AACGAACGCUGGCGGCAGGCUUAACACAUGCAAGUCGAACGCCCUCUUCGGAGGGAGUGGCAGACGGGUGAGUAACGCGUGGGAACCUACCUUUAGGUACGGAAUAACAGUUAGAAAUGACUGCUAAUACCGUAUGUGCCCGAGAGGGGAAAGAUUUAUCGCCUAUAGAUGGGCCCGCGUUGGAUUAGCUAGUUGGUGAGGUAACGGCUCACCAAGGCGACGAUCCAUAGCUGGUUUGAGAGGAUGAUCAGCCACACUGGGACUGAGACACGGCCCAGACUCCUACGGGAGGCAGCAGUGGGGAAUUUUCCGCAAUGGGCGAAAGCCUGACGGAGCAAGACCGCGUGGGGGAGGAAGGUUUUUGGAUCGUAAACCCCUUUUGU
RNAcentral lists this ribosomal RNA (383 nucleotides) under uncultured bacterium. Its description in RNAcentral is "bacterial SSU rRNA". It matches the Rfam family "Bacterial small subunit ribosomal RNA", at positions 29 to 439 of the family's 1533-position model. The record is from RNAcentral.